AUGCAGGGGGAAAUGGUUUCUCCCAUUUUUAACAAGAUUUGGAAAUCUUCAGUUGUCCACAGAUACAAUAUCUUCUGCUGGUUUCUUGCACUUGACAGAUUGAACAUCAGAAGCCUUCUUCACAGAAAGUCCUUUUAUCUGCCCUCCUACCUAUGUGAACUUUGUAAUGAGCAUGUGGAUGAGACACCCCCCUCAUCUUUUCUGGGACUGUAA
Molecule: ribosomal RNA, 213 nt
Filed under: Triticum aestivum (bread wheat)
Lineage: Eukaryota; Viridiplantae; Streptophyta; Magnoliopsida; Poales; Poaceae
Description: partial small subunit ribosomal RNA
Source: RNAcentral